RNAcentral lists this transfer RNA (74 nucleotides) under bacterium. RNAcentral's name for it is "tRNA-Ala". It matches the Rfam family "tRNA". Rfam says of the family: Transfer RNA (tRNA) molecules are approximately 80 nucleotides in length. Their secondary structure includes four short double-helical elements and three loops (D, anti-codon, and T loops). Further hydrogen bonds mediate the characteristic L-shaped molecular structure. tRNAs have two regions of fundamental functional importance: the anti-codon, which is responsible for specific mRNA codon recognition, and the 3' end, to which the tRNAs corresponding amino acid is attached (by aminoacyl-tRNA synthetases). tRNAs cope with the degeneracy of the genetic code in two manners: having more than one tRNA (with a specific anti-codon) for a particular amino acid; and 'wobble' base-pairing, i.e. permitting non-standard base-pairing at the 3rd anti-codon position. The record is from RNAcentral.
GGGCCUAUGGUCUAGUGGUAUGACACGUCAUUCGCAUUGACGAGACGCGAGUUCGAUUCUCGCUAGGUCCACCA